RNAcentral lists this unclassified non-coding RNA (201 nucleotides) under Hevea brasiliensis (rubber tree). The record is from RNAcentral. Lineage: Eukaryota; Viridiplantae; Streptophyta; Magnoliopsida; Malpighiales; Euphorbiaceae.
AUAGAUUGAACUCAGAAUAUAUUUCUUCGACAGUUCUUGAAUUAUUUGUCGAGGAUCAAUCAAAAACAAUCCAUCUCUCUGUAGCUGGUUAAAAAAUAUAAGGGUAACUAGUCAUGAGAAUCUUCGACUUGAGGUAUAUUAUUUUGAUGCUAAUUAACAUCUUCAAAUCCACUUCUUCUGAUUGGGAUCCUUUCCAUUUAU